RNAcentral lists this ribosomal RNA (253 nucleotides) under uncultured bacterium. Its description in RNAcentral is "partial 16S ribosomal RNA". It matches the Rfam family "Bacterial small subunit ribosomal RNA", at positions 524 to 776 of the family's 1533-position model. The record is from RNAcentral.
CACGUAGGGUGCGAGCGUUGUCCGGAAUUAUUGGGCGUAAAGAGCUCGUAGGCGGUGUGUCGCGUCGGCCGUGAAAACCCAGGGCUCAACCCUGGGCCUGCAUUCGAUACGGGCAGACUAGAGUUCGGUAGGGGAGACUGGAAUUCCUGGUGUAGCGGUGAAAUGCGCAGAUAUCAGGAGGAACACCGGUGGCGAAGGCGGGUCUCUGGGCCGAUAUUGACACUGAGGAGCGAAAGCGUGGGGAGCGAACAGG